This 4429-nucleotide ribosomal RNA is filed under the name Triticum aestivum (bread wheat). Its description in RNAcentral is "partial small subunit ribosomal RNA". Lineage: Eukaryota; Viridiplantae; Streptophyta; Magnoliopsida; Poales; Poaceae. The record is from RNAcentral.
CGGGAAGGGUGCGGCGCAGUCAGUUUGUGGCCGGGAGAAAGAGGGUUAGGGGCGUUGGCGGCGCGGGCCGUGUGGAGGGAGGAGGUGAGGAGGGGCGUAGAGUGGGAAGGGGCGACUCGAACAAGGAGAUCGGUGGGUGAGCAGAGGAGGAGGAGGAGGAUAGAGAGAGAAGAUCGAAGGAGGAGGAAGGACUAGAGACGCAGCCAGCCUGGCGCUCUCCUCGCCGCCACCACCUCUGCGAGGCCACCGCCGUAGCUCAACGCUUGGGGUUCUUGGUCCAGACCCCCAAGCCAAGGUUCCGCGCCUGCCGAAGAGGUAGAUACUGCGGCUCCCUUUCACGUGUGGGGUGAGGGGAGGAGGACACGCUUGGGAUGCUCUCUCUCUCCUUCUACUCUCCCUCCCUCUCUCUUACUGGCCGCAGCCGGACGCGGCCGCUCCUGCCCGCGCUGGACCUCCAACCGGCGACGAGCUAGACGAGAACCUACCCCUUGAAGUUGCUUCGACCCCAAGCCCGUGCAACGUGGCCUCCGGCGUGAGGUGGAGAAGGAGCACCACGCCGCCUGCCGUCGAGAACGUCAGCACGCCGGCUGCCGCCGGAGUCGCCCACCAGCUGCUGUGAACGUAGACCACGAGAUGGGUACCUAAGGCCGGGUCGGGCUUUAUGAGUCCUGUUUAAUCCGGAGCCGGUUACCACCUCUUCUGUCUGAUGUCCCUGUUCGGCGACCUCGUGCACAAGUACCCUACAAGCGCGCGUUCUACGUCUUCAAGCGGACUUCCUUCUUCUCAACCGGCCGCUCCUACUUCUCUUCCGCCCUACGCUCCACGAACGUGUGCGUCGUCGUCCUCCGGCAGGCAUUCCACGAGGAGACCUACGAGGGAAGGCCGUAACCCGGAUCCACAAGUUGUGGCGGGAGUGGUAGGGGAAGAAGGUAACCGAGUAGCCGGGUAGUCUCCGACAGUUACGACUCUUCGCUUGAACCUUUAGUCGAGCGAUUGUUCUCAGCCUUAAACUUAGACUCCGUUCAAAAUGUAAGGGGUUAAACAGAUAACUUGGGUACCAGAGAGAAAGAAGACGUAAUAAAGAGUAAGUAAUAGAUUCUAUAUUAAAGCUGAAGUGACGUAGCACAACAAACCAAAUAUUACGGCCAACUCGAGUAAAGAUUAACAAGUGUUGAUGAAUUAAAAAACAACACUAAAACGUUCUAUAAAUUUAAUAACAUAAAUCUUUAACAAUAUGACUAAGAGCUACGAGACAAGUACCGAAAAAAGAAUAAAAUAAGAAGAAACGAAAAAAGGAAAGGACGUUCUGCUACAGCUCAGUACAUUAUACAAGUUUCUUCUCUCUUAGACGUAAAAUACUUAGGAAAGAAGAAAGAAGUAACAAUGAAGUUCAAUCACUUAAGUAAAUUCAACAUAACUCGUCGAAGUACACGUACCAAAGAAGUAGAUGUGUAGAAUAAGUCAGUGCUCCGGUCAUUCUAGAAAACGGAAGAUCUUUUUCCCUCUACGUUAAAUCUGGAAUGAGAAGGUUGAACUAGAAAUUGAACGAUGAUGACAAAGAUUCGUAAAAGGGUUCGUAAAAAAUAAACGAAGUCUCUUACUUGAGUGGAAUAAGUCACCUACACGGUUCAUUUUUUUUUAUCUUUGACUUGUUAAUCAAGGUGAGAAUUUAAAACAUGUUGCCAGGUUUAAUAGGUUAUUUAGUAAACAAUCGUCCCAGAUUAAUAUCUUCAACUUAGUCAACAAGGUUUAAUGUUACACACUGAAUAAGGUAAACAAAUAGGAAAACAGGAAAAUUAGUUCUUGUUACAAAUCUCGAAUGUACCAACAGGUUUAAAUCAAGACAUUUUCUCCUUAUAAUUAUAGUACGUUGCUACUCACGUCUAAUCCUAUCAAUAUCUCAAGAAGGAGUCAAAAGUAACUCGUUUCUAACUUAGACAUACCAAAAAAGAUUAUGGUUCAUUUAGAACCAGACGUAAGACAAUCAAAAGGAUGACUCAAAAAAAACCGAUAAAAGCAAAUUUAACCAUCGACUACACUUUUUCACACACAACUGUACGUACGUUGGUUUAGUACAUAAUUACACUCCAUGAUGUAUAUGAACGGAUAGAGAAAGGUCUUCGUGUUGGGAGAACUAGGUUGAUCCUUGUAGUUUUGGUUUACCCUUUAGUAACUCACCUGAAGUCUACCGGUACGACACUCAUGUGGUAAUCAUAGACUUAGAUGAAACAUAUUAAUUCUGUGUGAAAGAUGUAUAGCGACGAUAUAACUAUGGUACACUAGUGAAUUGUACUCACACUGAUCGGAUAAAAGAAAGGAUUGACACACUAACGUACAUCAUUACGUACCGAAGAGAUAAAUUUACUUCUCAACACAAAUAGUAUUAUUAAUAUAUGGUAUCUGAACAAAGAAAGACAAAUACAUUAUUACGUCAAAAAGAAGAUGGUAUACAAAAGAAACAAUGUACAGAAGAUUAACAAGUAGAAAAAAAGAGAAAGCUGCUGUUUUAUUGUAGCGUAAACCACAUUGUUUUAUUGAAAAAAGAGAAACAAUGUACAGAAGAUUAUAAAUCAUGCUGUUCCUCCGCCCCAACCCCCUCCCCCAGCCAGCACCUCCCUCCGAGCGGACGGCCUCGUCGUCCUUGUUCCUCCGCCCCAGCCGGCACCUUAUAAAUCGACCUACACGCUAGAGAAGACGGCGAUGCAGAGGCAAGCUGAGCGGUUCCAAACAACAAGAGGAAAAAUGUACACACACACAAAAUGAAAGUGAUAGAAGAUAUAGUACGAUAGACGGAAGUACUAGCAAAUUCAUAAUAAUACCACAGACGGUACGACUAGCAAAUUUAUAAAGCCUAUGCCGUCCCGUAACACACAACAAGCAAGAGAACGAUGAAUAUCAAGCACAUACGCACACUCGUCCUAGAUACGUGAACAAAGGCAACAAUAUGAACAAAACCUCUGAUUCCAUCGAGCCACACGAAACAGCAGCGAAAGCACAGACACACUCCAACAUCUGCUGCCAAGACAAGAACGACCACAUCUUGAGCUCGAGGGUCCCCUGCCAAGAUGAGGUCACGGUGUUUCUCUACAAAAGGCUCGAACCGAACCACACCAAAAUACUUACCGAUACUCGUCCUACGAGAUGUCCAGAACGCAUAAAACGUUCCAAAUAUACCUGAAAAGCAAGUACUGUUAUUGAUACUUACAUACUACCGGAUAUCCUCUAGAAAGACAAGUUCUUGUAACGCCAAAGAAACUAAGGAUGAUACGAUAAAUGAUUCAGACGUCCGGUCGUAUAAUAAAUCUAAGAAAGAUUGAUGGAAUGAAGCUUCGAGUCAUGACCAGAGGAAGUUCGAUGUUGGGGUUCCGCUCGAGACCACCAGUUCGACUACGAAGAAGCGGAGGACAACUUCUUUUCCUACUAUUCCUACAGGUCCGAGCUCACUGGUCCUUGUUCACCACGACGAAAAAUACGACAGGUAGAUAUAUACGUAGGGAAGUCAAACAUGUCUGUUUUGUUUAUAAGUAAAGACUGAUCUUGUCUUGAACGUCAAUUCUUUGAGAUGACGACCUUACCCUCGACCCCAUGAUUUGUAUUAUAUCAAACUCGGACGGUCAAGAAAAAUUAGGAUACCGGACAUAAAAACAUCGUUAGCAGAAAAUACAGACCAAGGGUUUCAAUAAUCAAUCGGACGGAUAAAGAGCGGCAAACUAUUGGAUAUAAUAUUGAUAUCUCUUAUAUCAAACUCGGACGGUCAAGAAGACGGAACCUAUACUUUAUUACUCCGUCAAAAUUAUAACAGCAUCUAAGUGGACUCAAAUAAAAUUUGAUGUCCUACGUAGUGACUACCUCUUUAUGGAAUGUCUUACUACGACUCGGGGCAGACCUUACCUUGGAAAAACCUCGACGAAUACGAACCACGCCUCGCCCUUCGGAUACUAUCGUUGUCAUAACAUGAGGUAUCUUGACCUUGAGAUAUGGAAAGAAUACGUCGAGAAGGAAAACAACAGAAGGGAUCUUCCCCGACUACAUCAAAAAGACUUAAUGUACAGAGGCGAAACAAGAUGCCGUCUACGAAGAUGAAACCUUACCAUCGUUGUUAUGACCUGAGGUGACUCUUGACCUUGAGAUAUGGAAAGAAAACAUCGAGAACGAAAGCAUCAGUAACGACCUUCCACGUCUACAUCAAAAGGUAAACAAGAUGCUGUCUACGAAGAUGUGACCUUACCUUGGAAAAACCUCUAGUUGUACAAAGACUGAACAACAUGUUAUAGAGCUACCAUCAUGAACUAAAUAACAAAAUCGUUCGCAUUACCGACUACGAAUUUUAUUUGUUGUCAUAUAAAAAACGAACUCUCACGUAUGUAUACCGUAACGAAACAAUGUUCUAAUGCUGUGAAAAAGGUCAUUUAGACUACCAAGUAGAGUU